This 293-nucleotide ribosomal RNA is filed under the name uncultured microorganism. Its description in RNAcentral is "partial 16S ribosomal RNA". It matches the Rfam family "Bacterial small subunit ribosomal RNA", at positions 505 to 796 of the family's 1533-position model. The record is from RNAcentral.
GUGCCAGCAGCCGCGGUAAUACGGAGGAUCCGAGCGUUAUCCUGGAUUUAUUGGGUUUAAAGGGUGCGUAGGCGGCCCGUUAAGUCAGGGGUGAAAUACGGUGGCUCAACCAUCGCAGUGCCUUUGAUACUGACGUGCUUGAAUCCAUAUGAAGUGGGCGGAAUAAGACAAGUAGCGGUGAAAUGCAUAGAUAUGUCUUAGAACUCCGAUUGCGAAGGCAGCUCACUAAGCUGGUAUUGACGCUGAUGCACGAAAGCGUGGGGAUCGAACAGGAUUAGAUACCCUGGUAGUCC